RNAcentral lists this small nucleolar RNA (78 nucleotides) under Tetraodon nigroviridis (spotted green pufferfish). RNAcentral's name for it is "Small nucleolar RNA SNORD126 (ENSTNIG00000020557.1)". Lineage: Eukaryota; Metazoa; Chordata; Actinopteri; Tetraodontiformes; Tetraodontidae. The record is from RNAcentral.
AGCCUUAAUGAUGAGUUGCAUGUCAGUCCGUGUUUCACCUGAGACUCAUGAUUAUUACUUCACUGCACUGAUGGGGUU